GCCCAAGAGAAAGAUCUUUAUCACAAUAUCACAAUCAAAAAUAAAAUUUAUUAAAAAGUAAUUGAUGGUUAAGGUCUAAAAUAAAAAGGAAAAGACUUGAGAAAACAAAUUAAUGGCUCAAAGAAAUACAAGACCCACCCCGGUCUGAACCCACCUUUCUAGAAUCCUAAUCCACCAACUUAAUUAGCAGAUAGAACUAGAAGAAACCUCCCGCCGCUACCUGUUCUUCACCGGUCAUCAGAGAGCAAAGCACAAGGACCAUCAGCCACCAUUUGAGAAACACAACUUCUCUAUGUUCAGCACUCAAAAAAAUAAACAGCACAUGCAAAUACAACAGAUCACUCCAACAAACAACCCAGCUGACCCAGAGUCGAAGGUUGUUCCACCAUGGAAGUCUCACCAAAUACACACAAAUAUUAAAAACAAACUGAAGAAUAGAGGCACCUUAUAGCCAAACCACUAGAGAACUGGAUCGAUUGAGCCAAAGAAAACGGAGAAGCCGCUAGAUUCCAUAACUGCAAGAGCCAAAGCUAAAGAGGAUCGAAAACGUACGGCUAAAAGAAGUAACCAGAAGGACCACAACCAAGAAGGGGGUUGGUGGACAGAGCUCCCUACACCCAUAAAUGCUUAAGGGUCACCAAGAGUUGCCCACCAGCGAAAAAGGAGACCCCCUUAAUGAUCAACUCCCCUCCAACAGAAACUGGUAGGUAUCGUCAAAUCUUCAAUAUGCAACUCACCUGCAAAACUAAAGAGACAAUAAAAGUGUCGCCGGAAAAAAAAUUUUCAGAUCAUUGUACGUUUCAAUGUGAAAAUUGCUUACAAAUAAAUAUAUAGUUGUGGUUGAUAUUUGCAUUUAAUAGAUUGUUGAAAAUAUUACUCCAAUGUACAAUGGAGUUGUACUUUUUUGUAAUAACAUGUUGCCACAUUAUUGCACCAAGGGCAGAUUGGUGAGGUGGUGUCUGGGGAGUUGAAAGUGCUCUUUAUGACUUUUGGACAAGGAAUGGGUUUUAUUUUUAAAAAUUUUAUUAUUUAGUUUUUCAAUUUUAUUACUAAUUAUAAUUUAAUCCUUUUCUCCCUAUUCUCUCUCCCUCCCUAAUAUUUUUAAAGGGAAAUUUUAUUAUUAGGUUUUCAAUUUUAUUACUAAUAAUGCAGAGCUAAUGGAAGAAAUGGCUAUUUGUGUGAGAUGAGAUAGAAUCAUUUUGAAUUACUUGUGAACCAUAAUAUUUGAAGGUCCGAUUCUGAUUUAAUAAUUUUAUCUGAUGCAAUAUUGUUUGAUUGAAAAAAUAUUACUAUUACUUUUAACAUUAAAAGAAUAAUAAAUUACAUUUUAAUUCUUUAAUUUUAAUAUAAGUAGCGGAUCGAUCUUUAUAUUUUUAAAAUCAAAUACUUAAAUUUUUCUAUAAUUAGUUUAUUUAAAUUAGAGCUCUCUCUAUAAAUUUUUACCACGUGAAAAUAUUUUUAUUAUACUUUUUAAAUUGAUAAACUAUAUUGGAUGCUUGAGUUUUAGUAUAAUUAAUAGAUCGAUUUUUAUAUUUUUAAAAUUAUACACUAAAAUCUAUCUAUAAUCAAUUCAUCCUUAUUUAUUAUAAUUUAAAUAUUUUGAUCCUUCAUUUUUUAUUUGAAAAAACACUUAAAUCUCCAUUAACUUUUAUAUAUAAUAUUUCAUUUAAUUAAUAUUUAACUUUUUUUGUUAUUCAAUUUUUAUUUAUUAAAAUACUUCAAUAUCUAUAAUUUCAAAACUUUUAAAAAAUACUUACAAUUUCACAUAUUCCUAAGCAGUACUAAAUAACUUUUAAAUAGAUUAUAAACAUUUUACAAAAUGUAUUUUAAAAAAAAGUAUAUAUUUUGAUCAUCUCUGAGUUUUAAUUAAUGUUUAUAAUGAAUGAAAUAACUGUAAUAUUAGACAGAUUAAAUAUAAAAAAAUUUAAAAAUUUAGUUUUAAAAAUACAAGAUCUGAUCCAUCAAUUACGCUAAAAUUUAGAAAUCAAAAUAUAGUUUACACAAUAUACAAUUCUUCACUAAGAAUGAUUUAAGUAUUUGUGAGGGUAUUUUAAGUAUUUGAAAUAUUUAUUCUCUCUUAGACCGGUUAUCUGACGGAAUUAUAAAUAGAAUAAACUCUAAUUUGGAUAGAUUGAUUAUAAAAAAUUUAAAUAUUCUAUUUUAGAAAUAGAUGAAUCGAUUCGUUAAUUAUAUUAAAAUUCAGAUAUUAAAAUAUAAUUUAUUUUUAAAAAAUUAAAAUUUUUAUUUUGAAAUUACCUAAAAAAAAGUGGAUACCUUUUAAAUUUUUUUCAUUUUUCUAAUAAUUAAAAUCAAUGGAGGGACAAUAUUAAUAAAUUUUUAAAAAUAUUUUAAUGUAUUUUUUUAAAAGCAUCCAGAAAUUAAUUAGUUAAAUUUCACUUGUAUCCUUAUUUGUUUUGUAACAAGUGAAUUUAUCUUUAGAUUUUAUCCUUUCUUUAUAAAAUAAAAUAAAAAACAAUUUUUAUUUACACUAUACAAAUUAUUAUUCAAUCUAGUAUCCUUUCUUUAAUUUACAAUAUUUAUUUUAAAUCAUAUAUACAUUCUUUAGCUUCUUCAUCUGUAUUAGAAUAAAACUCUGAUAAGUCUCAGUUGCCAUCACAUAACAAAAAAUUUUUCUUUUGAAAUAAUAAUAUUAUAGAAAGAAAAAAAAAAUCUUCAAACACAAUCCAUAAUCUUAAGAAAUAUAUAUGCCACAAUAAUUGAAGAUAUUUCCUCUCAUGAGUCAUGAUUACCGACAACUACCUUAGUAAUAACAGUGAAAAUAUUAAUAUGAAAAAAAAGAAGUUGGAGAGAAGAUCAACUCAAUUUUAAUUGCUCUGGUAUAUAUACACCUUUACUUAUAUAUAAUUCAGUCUAAAUAACAAUUUUCAAAUUUAUUAUAAAAUAUUUAUUUAAAACUGAUCCAUAUAAAUCAUUGCGAUUAUCCAUCGUUCCGUAAUGAAUACUGUUAAUAGUCUAAGACUGUUUGAGCAUCUUUAUCUCCACGACCACUGCAGUUUACAAUGACCUUGGAGCCAUUGGGUAAAGUAGGACAAAUUUUCUCUAGGAAUGCCAAAGCAUGAGAUGCCUCCAGAGAUGGAAUUAUACCCUCUAAUCUGCUAAGUCUUUUGCAUGCUGCAAACAAUAUUCAGCCAUUAUUAUAAUCCUUCCUUUAAUUUAUAGGAUUCUGAUAAUUAUUUCAAAUAUUAUAUAUACCUUCUACAGCUUCUUUAUCUGUAGCAGAAUAAAAUUCUGCACGUUCUGUGUCUUUAAGAAAGCUUAGCUCUGGACCAACUCCUGGGCAUUUUAGCCUGUAAAAGGUGGCAAAAAGUUAAUUAUGUGAUUAUCUGUUCAUGUUAUGUCUAUAGGAUGUUUAAUUACUUACCCCACACCAAUAGAAUGUGGUUCUGUUAUCUGGCCUUCAUCAUCCUGCAACAAGUAGCUCAUGGCUCCAUGGUAAACUCCCACUUCUCCUCUAGCCAGAGUGGCAGAAUGUUUCCCACUCUCCAAACCAAACCCAGCAGCCUCAACUCCUAUCAACCUCACAUCUUCAUCUCCUAUGAAUUCAUGGAAUAUCCCCAAUGCAUUAGAUCCACUCCCUACACAGGCAAUCACAACAUCUGGCUUUCCACCCCAUUUCUCCAUUGCUUGCCUCCUUGUUUCCUUUCCUAUCACUGACUGAAACUCGCGGACCAUGCUUGGACAUGGAUGAGGCCCCACCACAGUACCUGUCAAGUUAUAGGUUGUCUGUAAGUUUCCCACCCAUUCCCUGAUAGCUUGUGAGCUUGCAUCUUUAAAGUUUCCUUCCACACCUCUAACCUGAUACAAAGUAUACACAAAUUCAAUAACAUGCAGCUAGAUAGCUUAGAUGUCUAUGUGUAAGAGUGGGUACCUCAGCUCCCAAUAGUUUCAUCAAAAGUACGUUUGAGGAUUGUUUUUCCAUAUCUGAAGUGCCCAUGAAAACAAUACACUCUAAAGAAAGCUUGGCGCAUGCUGCCGCAGUUGCAACUCCGUGUUGUCCAGCCCCAGUGGCCGCCACAACACUUUUCAGACCCAUGCGUUUGGCAAUCAUUGCCUGAGCAAUCGCGUUAUUCAUCUUGUGUGCUCCACAAUGAUUAAGAUCUUCUCUCUUCAAGUAAAUAUCUGGUCCUUGUCCAUCUUCAUUCUUGUAAUGAUUCGUGAGCCGCUCAGCAAAGUACAGAGGAGUCUCCCUUCCCACGUAGUCUCUUAGUGCCGUCUCAAGUUCAUGCUGCAUGCGUAACAUGCAUAUUUCCCUUAAGUGGGUAAUCAUAGAACGUAAACUUAACUAAACCCUUAUGUUAAUUAACAAACCUGAAACUGAGUGUCAUGUAAAGCCCAGUUGAAUUCAGCUUCAAGCUCCUUCAAGCAUGCAAUAAGCGUCUCAGGCACGAACUUGCCGCCGAACCUUCCAAAUUUUCCAGAGAUUGUUGUUGGCACAUCAAUAGGAACUCGUUGUGUCCCUAUGACUUGUAUGUUGAGGUCCAAUAUUCUGGAGCUGGGGGAACUUUCCUUGGUCGAAAAUUGAGCAGAAACUACAUGGGAAUUUCUGGAUCUUCUCUUACAUGUCAUAAGCUCAAUGGCUGGACAUAAACCUUUUACUUGUCGAUCAAAGAAACAAGUUUGAAUUCUGCAAGCCAUGUCUCUCAGAAGAUAAAAUAAAGAGGAGAUUGUGUAUGUUUAAUGUUUAAUUUCUUGGAGGGGAUGCAUACUUAUGGAGUUAGCUAAGCCCAUCCCAUCACCGACCAUCUCAGUUUUGCUGUCCACAUGGACGACUUUCACGAAGACUAUUAAUUUCAACAUAUGGAUCUCAUUGCACUUUGAGUUUCACAUGUGAAUCUCAUUGCACCUUUCAAUUUCUUUAAAAAUUAUCUUUUUAAUGUGAAAAUUGUUUCCAAAUAAAUAUAAGUGGUUGAUAUUUGCA
Molecule: long non-coding RNA, 4939 nt
Filed under: Manihot esculenta (cassava)
Lineage: Eukaryota; Viridiplantae; Streptophyta; Magnoliopsida; Malpighiales; Euphorbiaceae
Description: long non-coding RNA (MESC_LNC009372)
Source: RNAcentral